Molecule: ribosomal RNA, 506 nt
Filed under: uncultured bacterium
Lineage: Bacteria
Description: partial 16S ribosomal RNA
Rfam family: Bacterial small subunit ribosomal RNA
Source: RNAcentral
GAUGAACGCUAGCGGCAGGCCUAACACAUGCAAGUCGAGGGGUAACUAGAGUGAUAGCAAUAUUACUUUGGCUAGACCGGCGCACGGGUGCGUAACACGUAUGCAACCUACCUUAUACUGGGGAAUAACUUCGAGAAAUCGGCGCUAAUACCCCAUAACACUGCGGAGAGGCAUCUCUUUGCAGUUAAAGCUACGGCGGUAUAAGAUGGGCAUGCGUCCAAUUAGCUAGUUGGUGAGGGAACGGCUCACCAAGGCUACGAUCGGUAUGGGUUCUGAGAGGAUGAGCCCCCACACUGGUACUGAGACACAGACCAGACUCCGACGGGAGGCAGCAGUGAGGAAUAUUGCGCAAUGGACGAAAGUCUGACGCAGCCAUGCCGCGUGCAGGAUGACGGCCCUAUGGGUUGUAAACUGCUUUUGUACGGGAAUAAACCCUUCUACGUGUAGGAGGCUGAAUGUACCGUAAGAAUAAGCACCGGCUAACUCCGUGCCAGCAGCCGCAGUAA